RNAcentral lists this long non-coding RNA (646 nucleotides) under Mus pahari (shrew mouse). RNAcentral describes it as "lncRNA (MGP_PahariEiJ_G0012393.1)". Lineage: Eukaryota; Metazoa; Chordata; Mammalia; Rodentia; Muridae. The record is from RNAcentral.
CCGCUGUCGCCGAGCGUCGGAGCCCGAGGGGCCGCGGCCGCGCGCCGCGGGGGGAGGAGACGGUCUGGAGUCCCCCCGCUGCGCCGGGGUUGGGGAGACGGAGGACUGCAGCGCCCCUUGGGGCUUCUGAGGCGCCCAGGUAACCUCACCUGGCCGCCAGUCUCCCGCAGGAGGAACAGACACGUUGGUUCCACACCGAACCUAUUAACAGCUCAACUUCAAAUAUUUGGCAGAGGUGGGAUUGCUGUUCACUAAGGCCUGUGGCAAAGUGGCAACGUCAGGGCAGAAGGAUGUAACUGAUAAAAGCUGCUCACACCUAAGUAGCCAGGAAACAGAGAGAAAUGGAGACAAAUAUAUGAUACAGCCUACCAAGACACAUUCCUAGUGACCUUCCCAUCUUUGGCUUUCCAACAAUUCACAAGAACACCCUUAAUUAUGAAUUCAUCAACAAAUCAAUUAAGUCAAAGCUCCCAUGAUGUAAUCACUUCCCUAUAUCCUCCCGUUGAACAUCCUCACCAUUGAAAACCAAGCCUUCAACACAUGAGUCUGGGCACAGUAAGUCAUAUCGAAUACAUUGAAGAUGUAAAUUUUAACGGUUGAAAAUGACAAGCAUAUUUUGUCUGUGAAAGUCAGCAAAAGGGAAUAU